UACAGAGGUCUCAAGCGUUGUUCGGAAUCACUGGGCGUAAAGCGUGCGUAGGCUGUUUCGUAAGUCGUGUGUGAAAGGCGCGGGCUCAACCCGCGGACGGCACAUGAUACUGCGAGACUAGAGUAAUGGAGGGGGAACCGGAAUUCUCGGUGUAGCAGUGAAAUGCUUAGAUAUAACUUAGAACCCCGAUAGCGAAGGCAGCUUACCGGCGCGCAACUGACGCUCAUGCACGAAAGCGUGGGUAUCGAACAGG
Molecule: ribosomal RNA, 253 nt
Filed under: uncultured bacterium
Lineage: Bacteria
Description: partial 16S ribosomal RNA
Rfam family: Bacterial small subunit ribosomal RNA
Source: RNAcentral